This 41-nucleotide ribosomal RNA is filed under the name Escherichia coli. RNAcentral describes it as "sarcin-ricin loop of 23SrRNA from Escherichia coli (PDB 1MJ1, chain Q)". Lineage: Bacteria; Pseudomonadati; Pseudomonadota; Gammaproteobacteria; Enterobacterales; Enterobacteriaceae. The record is from RNAcentral.
GGGGGGCUCUUCCUAGUACGAGAGGACCGGAAGGGACGCAC